RNAcentral lists this ribosomal RNA (147 nucleotides) under Desulfofarcimen acetoxidans DSM 771. Lineage: Bacteria; Bacillati; Bacillota; Clostridia; Eubacteriales; Peptococcaceae. The record is from RNAcentral.
UCCGGUGGCAAUAGCGAAGAGGUCAUAUACACCUUCGGGGCACGAGAACCCUUUCAGGGGCCGUUCCCUUACCGAACACGGAAGUCAAGUUUUUCAGCGCUGAUGGUACUUGGGGAUACCCCCUGGGAGAGUAAGACGUUGCCGGAA